AGAACCUUGAUCUCCCGGCUCCGACUCCAGCGUUCUUUCAACCAAAAUGCAGUGGAAGUAUUCAGAGACGCCACCUAGGAGGUCCCAUCAGCCAAGGAAAUGAGGCCAACUCUAAAGAUCCACCUAUGAACAAGAUAAGGAACUUCAGUCCAGUGGGGAAAGUGACAUACAACCUGGCAAUUACAAUACGACAAGAUGAUGACAGUGAGAGGGAGAGACAGAGGAGGGGACCUAACUGGGGCCUGGGAUGGGAGAUGGCGGUGGAAGCAGCUCUGGCAUAGUGUGUGGAACACAGAAACAUGUCUUCUCCCUUGUGGCCUAUGAUGAUCCCAAGUCUAAGUUAAAUGUUGGGAAGAGAAGCUUGAGAACUUACUGGAAAUUAAGCUUUGGCUUCCCGUGAAUCACACCUAGUUUGUAACAAUCAACAAAAGUCCUUGGAAUGAGUAAAGCUUGGCUGCUAGUGCUGAAGCAGUGGGACUGCUGUGGAAACAGCUUCGGGGAGAAGCUGGGAAGCUGGCUUCUGUUCCUGCAGUGGGCCAGUGGGGAGACAAAACCAGUUGCAUCACUGUUUGAAAGGAAAACAGAUAAGAAAUUCCGGGGAUGUGAGAGAAAAGGACAGGACUUACCCAGAGCUUGUUGCCUCAAGAUUACAGGUCAACUGCUGCUGUGGUUCAGAUUUGCGUCUUACUGGGCUGCUGUAGCCUCUCAGAGGGCUGGUCCCUAAAACUCCCACCUACAGCUUAACAACCUUCUCACACUCAAGGUUUAUUUUAACCCACUAAUUCUCACCUCACUCGUCUGCUAUCAACAUGUACCUCCAAAGAGCCAGAGCACAG
RNAcentral lists this long non-coding RNA (836 nucleotides) under Equus caballus (horse). Its description in RNAcentral is "lncRNA (ENSECAG00000045003.1)". Lineage: Eukaryota; Metazoa; Chordata; Mammalia; Perissodactyla; Equidae. The record is from RNAcentral.